CUGCUGAUGUGUAAUCAGCAGGCAACAUCUCUAUCUUGCUAGAAACCCAACUCGGCUACUAGCAGCUCGACUCUCGAGUUCACAGAUCAAAUAGAGGUGGCCUGCUAUAGCAGGUUAAGAAAUGAUCGGACUGGUUUAUAACUAAACUAAGACAAUCGGAACCUGCGGAAGGAUCAUUACAGAGCUUCUAAGCUUAAGGGGGUAAAACCUCUAAGCAAGAACUCCACCCUUUGUUUACAUACCUUUGUUGCUUUAGCAGGCCCGCUCUCGAGCCGCCGGCAGUAGCUGGUCCGCGCCUGCUAGAGGACCUAAAACUCAUGUUAACAAUAUUGUCUGAGUACUAUAAUAAUAGUUAAAACUUUCAACAACGGAUCUCUUGGUUCUGGCAUCGAUGAAGAACGCAGCGAAAUGCGAUAAGUAAUGUGAAUUGCAGAAUUCAGUGAAUCAUCGAAUCUUUGAACGCACAUUGCGCCCUCUGGUAUUCCGGGGGGCAUGCCUGUUCGAGCGUCAUUACAACCCUCAAGCUCUGCUUGGUAUUAGGCUUCACCUGCUACAGGCGAGCCUUAAAAUCAGUGGCGGUGCCUUCUGGCUUCAAGCGUAGUAAUACUUCUCGUUUGGGAGCUCCAGUUGUGUACCUGCUAGAAAACCCCAAUUUUUAAAGGUUGACCUCGGAUCAGGUAGGGAUACCCGCUGAACUUAAGCA
RNAcentral lists this ribosomal RNA (703 nucleotides) under Leotiomycetes sp. ca_besc_196h1. RNAcentral describes it as "eukaryotic LSU rRNA". The stretch from base 357 to 510 matches the Rfam family "5.8S ribosomal RNA". The record is from RNAcentral. Lineage: Eukaryota; Fungi; Ascomycota; Leotiomycetes.